RNAcentral lists this ribosomal RNA (253 nucleotides) under uncultured bacterium. RNAcentral describes it as "partial 16S ribosomal RNA". It matches the Rfam family "Bacterial small subunit ribosomal RNA", at positions 524 to 776 of the family's 1533-position model. The record is from RNAcentral.
UACGUAGGGGGCUAGCGUUGUCCGGAAUCAUUGGGCGUAAAGAGCGUGUAGGCGGUCCGGUAAGUCCGCUGUGAAAGUCGGGGGCUCAACCCUCGAAUGCCGGUGGAUACUGCCGGGCUAGAGUCCGGAAGAGGCGAGUGGAACUCCUGGUGUAGCGGUGGAAUGCGCAGAUAUCAGGAAGAACACCAACGGCGAAGGCAGCUCGCUGGGACGGAACUGACGCUAAGGCGCGAAAGCGUGGGGAGCGAACAGG